Numida meleagris (helmeted guineafowl) is the source of this 4376-nucleotide long non-coding RNA. RefSeq lists it as uncharacterized. NCBI's taxonomy places the organism in Eukaryota, Metazoa, Chordata, Aves, Galliformes, Numididae. The transcript is spliced from 3 exons. The record is from RefSeq and is a predicted model, not a curated record.
UUUGCUCCAAUGGCCUCUGCAAGUUUGAGAUCCUGGAAUGAUAUGCUGGGAGGGACUGAGAGAUCUUUCUGCAGCGUGUCAGAACUAGCUCCCAGGAUCUGUUUGUGAAAGAUAAGUGUUGUUACUUCCUUGAAUUACUUCUGUUCUUGCUAGGAAUAAACACAGUACUGCCAACUAUGUACAUGCUGUGUCAUCAAUAAGAAGAAAAUGGUCAUGUGUGGUUAGAAAAAGUGUGCUUCUGUUCGUUAUAUCCUUAAAGGCAAUGUAAAACAGUAAAAUCUCAGUUUCCUCCUGGUUGUUUUUUUUUUCUGUCUCAAAUAUUUGAUCCUCUCUGCAGCAGUGCUAAUUUUCAGUUUGUCUCUCUCCCCCUGAUCUCAAAGUCCAAUUUUAGUGCUUGUGUACUAUGUGGAACAGCCCCCAGUGACUUCAGAUGUGACAGACAGAGGAAAUUUUCUCUCUAAUUAUAUUGCAUCUGAUUCAUUAAGGUCUGUGCCUCGCUGCCAAAAAGGCGAUUCCUCCAUGUGGACUCAGUAUUUUUUGUAUUGGAGUCAUUUCCAUAGUUAUGAAGGAACUGUAUCAAGUCUGUCAGGUUCUUCUCAUCAAGACAUCAUCUCAUUGUCUAACUGGCUACUGGGCUUUGUCCUUCUUCAUAUGUGAGAAGGAUUUACUCUCCAUCCCAUUCCCUGUCCACCUCGUAGCUGUUAAAGGGAGCUGCUGGACUUUGAAGUUUACAUGGCCUGGCUGGCGUUCCAGUGUAACCAAAACCAAUUGUAACAGGUCAGCUUGGAUGAUUUGCUGGUGCUCUGAUUCACUGUGCAAAAUACUGUCCUCUUUUGGCUGAGCUUUCUCACAUUCUUUGUAGACACUGUGGGUUUGGUCUCUGUCUCAUUGUCUUUUCCCAUGAAGACAAAUAAGAGGAAAAUCAUGAGGGGAUCAGUAAAUUUUGCCGUAGACACAAAUAGGGAAACAGGGUUAUAAAACAGUCCUUCCAGCAGCAAAAUCUAUCCUAUACGCCGCAUGAUGAUUUGGAGGGAUGGGCUGUGAGCUACAUUACUGAGAAUGUGUCUAUUGUUGGCCAUAUGUGACGUAUAUGUGGGUAAGAAUGACUAGCCAGUGCAGAUAAUAUUUUACACUCAGAAGUGCGGUGGUUAUUUUAGAGUAAUGCUGCCUCCGAUUAAAAUCACUCUGCUACUCUUGUGUCUGAGCACAGUGAAUUGAAGACUCUUCUCAGUCCAGAGCAGCCCUUGUAUCUCAGAGAAAUGGAGGGUUCGCAUUCUUGUUUAUGGCCUUGCUGCUUCCUAAACUUUAUGGGAGAUCUAGGGAUAAAGGAGUAAUUUGCAUUGAGCAUCACCAAAAUUCAGUAAUGUGCAGAGAUAUGAUUACAUGAAGGCACAGUGCAAAGAAGACAGAGCCAGAUUCUUCACUGUGGUCAAGACAAGAGGCAUUGGGCAGAAAUUGGAACACAGGAUGUUCCAUCUGAACAACAGGGAGCAUUUUACUGUGAGGCUGUUGUACAAAUGGCACAGGAUGCUCAGAGACAUUGUGGUGUCUCUCUCCUUGGAGAUGUUCAGAAUCCACUUGGACAUGGCUCUGAACACUCUGCUCUAGGUGUCUUCCAAUGUCUUCCAAGAGGUCCCUUCCAAUCUUAGCCAUAACCACCAUUUUUUUUUCCCUUAGAAAUUCUACAGCUGACCCUAGUUGGAGAAGAAAAAAAUUCAAGUGUAUCUUUCCAUUUUCUGAAGGCAAAUACUCACAGCUGCUCACAUUGCAAAUUGAUUUCCAACAAAGAAUGAAGUUUCGAAUGACUGCUACCUUUGCUUUGUAAUUUAGUGCACAUAUUCUAUAGCAGACAUAUAUAUUUUUUUAUCCCUUUCAUUAGAUUUCAAAACUGAAAUAGAGAAAAAAAUCCAGUCUGGAAAUAAAUAAAUAUUGAUGCCAAGUACUGAAGCAAAGAAUAUUUGGAUACUGUAGUUCAGUUUUCUGCAUAACUCAUUUAAAGGGUUUCACCCGGAAACUCCAUGAAUGAACUGAAAUAGAUGCAAUUUCUCAGCCAUCUUGGCACAUCAUACUUGUAGUUAAUGCAAGAACAUUCAGUCACAUUAUUGAAUGUCUGUUUAAUACAUCAGCAGUUUUACCAUAUAAAGGUUGUCUUAUGAAAUAUAAACAUCUCUUAAUUAAAAUCUGAGACAACGAAACAGAAAUACAUACAUUGUCUCCUGAAAUAGCAUUAUGGCUGUUACAUUGUCAUGUGAGUGCUCUUUACUGCCAGUAUUUUCCUGGUACUGAGCUCAGAUCUGUAGAAUAAUAAGAGGUGAAAUUUGUUUAGACAACAGAUGCAUUCUGUGUUCAGCUGCAGUGAAGUGGUUAAUAGCUAAUGUUGAAUAACACUUAAUAUCAGAUGAGAGCUUGAUGCUGAAUUCAUGAACACAUUUAUUUUUGUAAACUCAAUGAAUUUUUUCUUAGGCAAGAGUAUGCAGAAUUUUCUUGGAUAUGUUAGGAGGUACUUAUAAAAAGCAAAAAAUCAUGAGCAAGAUGCCAGUUGUAUAUAAAUGCCUUUAUAAUAAAACAACAAUGUCCAAUAAUGCCAAAGGGAAACAGUCUGGCACUGGACUGAAAAUUACCUAGUGGUUACCAGAAAUAGUGGAACAUUUUAGAGGACCCGUAUUUGCAAGACUAUUGAGAAAAUGCUGGUUAGAACUCAGAUAUGGUUAUAUUUUGGUGGCUGUAAAGUUGAGAUGACAUCAUUAUUGUGAUCAUAACAAAAAGUAGAAUAUAAUAAUACAGUCUAGGGUCACUACAAACUGUAUCUAUAUAACCUAACAAAGCAAAACAUUUUCUGCUGACCUUAGAGAGAUGUUUUUUUUCAAGCUGUGUUCACAUGCUUCCUUUCUAAAUUUGUUUGAUGUGAUUAUUCUCAGGUCGAGGUGUUGUUGAAAGUACAAAAAUAAGUAACUGGACUGUGGACAUAGAUUACAUGUUCAGAUGAAGAUCAGUAUUGUUGUGUUCAUUAUGAAGCCUCCAGCUCAGGGGACAGGUAAAUCAGACACGUUUGUUACCAGGCAGGCUGAGCUAAUGAGCAGCUUUCCAGGCAACAAUCACAAAACCAGCUGUGAUACUACUCAAAGACUGAUAAUGUGUUAUCGGGGAACAUGCUCGUAUUGUUCUGAGCCCAUGAUCUCAUGGACAGCUUCCAUGGUCCUUCAGCAGAUUGAAGGAGAUCCAAUUUACUCCUGGAGACUUAGGUCUGGACAUGAGUUCUCAGACCGCUUAACGCCAAUCUCCAGGCCCAGUUAAAUUACAGACAAUGCCAUGAACCCUGCAACGCAAGAUGGAGCACUGAAUGAACAAUGAGGAGGCUGAAGGAAUUUUGCCCUUCUAAGUGAUUCACAUUUGCUGCUCGCUCAUUUCUGCGGCCUUCCCUAGAAUCCUCUUAGCCAAGAGCAGGCCGCUCCCCUGACUGCAUUUCCAAGGGUUGAUGGCUCUGAGACCCUGCUUCCACGUGGUCAGAGGAAGGCACUCUGGGGUGGGCAGUGGCUCAGGGAUGUGCUGGGGGAUGCAAAGGAGAGCUGCUUCUGUGGCUGGUUCUGUGACCGCACAUGCAAAUGUAUCCAGAAGGCAGGGGGCUGUUCGCGUGAUGGCCACGGAGCUUUUCAGUUGAGGGGAAGAGGGCUGGUAUUGUCUGAAGUCUGUGAUCCAAAGUACUUAAUCAUCAUUGCUGGAGUUGGAUGUAGGAAUAUUGUAACAUGUAUUCCCAACAGAGGGUUAUUCACCAGCAGCUGAGAGCAACGUGUGGCAUCUGCAAUGUAAAAGGAUUUCACAUGCAGGUCAGGGAGGAUCAGUGAGAGGAUGUACUACACAACAUGAUGCUGUCUGUGGGAUUUAACUAAGUUGACGUGACUUGUAAAGCGAGCAGGAGCUUGUUCAAGGAAUUGAAAGAAGCAGGCAAAGUUUAUGUUAAAUUUCUAUAUCAAGAUAUGAUUCAACACUUCCCAAAAAUUCCUUCAAAACAAACAAAUAGGUUAUUCACUCAAAAAGUAUAUUUCCUAUCUCAUUCCUUUCACUAUACAGAAAUUCUUGCUACCAUUUUCUUAGUCAGCAACCUAAGCAGAGGGAAAAUACCUUUUUUUCUUUCUAAACUUUAGACUACUUUAAGCAUACAAAAGUGGGAUAAUUUGUUCACAAAUUUUCAGCUCUUUUCCACUUGUUUUUUUAAAAAACAGGAGUGAAAUCUUCUAAAGGAACGGCUGAAAUCCAAACAUUUCUACUGUAUUACUGUUAGCAGAAUUAUGUGAGAAAAUAAUUAUAUUCAGACCCUGGUAUCUAAGUGCAGUUUUAAGAACGUGUUAUACUGCCUUACUGCUGAAAAUAAAUAAUUU